AUGGCUUUGUUAGGGUUACAAAGAAUUGCGCCUCUUCAAAUUUUCGUAACAGAGAACUCUCUUCUCCUCUUCACGGUGCCGGUCUUCACCUUCUCUCUUCUCCGCUCAGACAAAGACCGUCGGCCGCCAUACCACUGUCAUCGGUCUUCCUUCAAUAGCUUUCAAUCCCGCUUCCGCUCCCCUAACCUCGAAUCCACUCCUCAUAGAAACUCAACGAAGACAGAGAGAGGAAUCGGCUCAGUUUCAGAGAUAAAGGAAAUUCUUGAAGAAGAGGCAGAGAAUUUCAUAGAGUUCUUGAGAUUUUUGAAAUGGUGA
Molecule: non-coding RNA, 315 nt
Organism: Vicia faba (fava bean)
Lineage: Eukaryota; Viridiplantae; Streptophyta; Magnoliopsida; Fabales; Fabaceae
Source: the annotation of a GenBank genome assembly